RNAcentral lists this signal recognition particle RNA (266 nucleotides) under Candidatus Aminicenantota bacterium. Its description in RNAcentral is "Candidatus Aminicenantes bacterium signal recognition particle sRNA large type". It matches the Rfam family "Bacterial large signal recognition particle RNA". Rfam says of the family: The signal recognition particle (SRP) is a universally conserved ribonucleoprotein involved in the co-translational targeting of proteins to membranes. Archaeal SRP consists of a 7S RNA and homologues of the eukaryotic SRP19 and SRP54 proteins. Lineage: Bacteria; Candidatus Aminicenantota. The record is from RNAcentral. RNAcentral also lists the same sequence under 2 other names.
CCGUGCUAAGCGGGGAGCUAGCGGUGCCCUGUACCCACAACCCGCUCCAGUGGGGCUGAAUUCCCGGCCGAGGCUGUUAGUCUUCUGGCCAGGUUCGCUUUUCGGAGCGAUGAAGGUUUGGGCCCUGCGCAAAGGGCCGGCCGCCAAUCCCGCCAGGACCGGAAGGUAGCAACGGUAACGGUCAGGUUCUUGUGUGGCAGUCAGCCUGGCCUGAGCUUUCGAAAGCAAAGCCCGCAGGGGACGAGCAGUCGAAGCAGGGUGCACGG